This 402-nucleotide ribosomal RNA is filed under the name uncultured bacterium. Its description in RNAcentral is "bacterial SSU rRNA". It matches the Rfam family "Bacterial small subunit ribosomal RNA", at positions 355 to 774 of the family's 1533-position model. The record is from RNAcentral.
UGGGGAAUAUUGCACAAUGGGGGAAACCCUGAUGCAGCAACGCCGCGUGAGUGAUGACGGCCUUCGGGUUGUAAAGCUCUGUCUUCAGGGACGAUAAUGACGGUACCUGAGGAGGAAGCCACGGCUAACUACGUGCCAGCAGCCGCGGUAAUACGUAGGUGGCAAGCGUUGUCCGGAUUUACUGGGCGUAAAGGGAGCGUAGGCGGACUUUUAAGUGAGAUGUGAAAUACCCGGGCUCAACCUGGGUGCUGCAUUUCAAACUGGAAGUCUAGAGUGCAGGAGAGGAGAGUGGAAUUCCUAGUGUAGCGGUGAAAUGCGUAGAGAUUAGGAAGAACCCCAGUGGCGAAGGCGACUCUCUGGACUGUAACUGACGCUGAGGCUCGAAAGCGUGGGGAGCAAACA